UGGGGAAUAUUGGACAAUGGGCGAAAGCCUGAUCCAGCCAUGCCGCGUGUGUGAAGAAGGUCUUCGGAUUGUAAAGCACUUUAAGUUGGGAGGAAGGGCAGUAAGCGAAUACCUUGCUGUUUUGACGUUACCGACAGAAUAAGCACCGGCUAACUCUGUGCCAGCAGCCGCGGUAAUACAGAGGGUGCAAGCGUUAAUCGGAAUUACUGGGCGUAAAGCGCGCGUAGGUGGUUCGUUAAGUUGAAUGUGAAAGCCCCGGGCUCAACCUGGGAAAUGCAUCCAAAACUGGCGAGCGAGAGUAGGGCAGAGGGUGGUGGAAUUUCCUGUGUAGCGGUGAAAUGCGUAGAUAUAGGAAGGAACACCAGUGGCGAAGGCGACCACCUGGGCUCAUACUGACACUGAGGUGCGAAAGCGUGGGGAGCAAACAGG
This 429-nucleotide ribosomal RNA is filed under the name Pseudomonadota bacterium. Its description in RNAcentral is "Proteobacteria bacterium partial 16S ribosomal RNA". It matches the Rfam family "Bacterial small subunit ribosomal RNA", at positions 355 to 776 of the family's 1533-position model. The record is from RNAcentral. Lineage: Bacteria; Pseudomonadati; Pseudomonadota.